CAAGUGGUAAGCACUUGCAAUUGAUUGAUCUGUGAUCAAUUGAGCUUUGAGACAGUUAGCUAGCUACAUGUUUCAUCGUAGAAAUGGGAAUCGCACAAGGAGACUGAUAUUGUGAUUAGCAAAGGAGCCGGUGGGAAAGCCUUCUGUGCUGGUGGAGACAUCAGAGCUGUGACUGAAGCGAGGAAGGUAGGAGAUCCCCUUGGUAAGGACACCUUCCGUGAAGAAUACAUCCUGAACAAUACUAUUGGAACAUGUCAGAAACCAUAUGUGGCCCUUAUUGAUGGGAUAACAAUGGGAGGGGGUGUGAGCCUCUCAGUCCACGGGAGGUUUCGGGUGGCCACUGAGAAGACUCUGUUCGCCAUGCCGGAAGACGGCAAUCGACCCUAGCCAAGAUGUCUCCCACAUCGCUGAAGAUAACCUUCGAGCAGCUUCAGGAGGGAAGCGCCAAGAGUUUGUAGGAGGUUCUGGUGAUGGAGUGCAGACCCAAUCAAGCCUGCAUGGUGAAGGGCAGUGACUUCUACGAGGGUGUGAAGGCCGUGCUGGUUGACAAGCACCACAGCCCCAAGUGGAGACCAUCCACACUGGAGGAGGUCUCAGAACAGAGUGCGGAUGACUACUUCCUGCCACUGGGGGAGCAUGACCUCAAGCUCUAAGGACAACCCCAUAGAUUAGAUCAAGGGAUACCACUUUGGUCCUCCACAACCUCCCACUCAUGAGGUCUUUUCAUAGGAGGCGUCCAAGUUGCCUAAAUUAGUUUCCGGCCCUCGUAUCCUUUCUUUCAUGUCAACUCAAUAUAAUUCAUGUUCUCCUUGAGUUUUAUGGUUGAAAUAAGCCAUCAUAUUCACCUAUUAGUGGUCAUACAGUUGGAAAGGAGACAGGGAAAGGACCAUCAGACAUGGCAUGCCAGUCACUCAGUGGCCUCUCACAACAGCAGGACUUUGGUAAGACCACACCCCAGUGCCGUGCCCAUUUCUGUGGGGGCAGAGAGACUAUGACCUCACCAGUGUAUUAUAAUAUUACUGUGUCAAUGAUUGUUACAUGACAUCUAUCAACAUGGAUCCAAAGUAUAUUAUCUUUCUACAAUGAUGGUUGAUAACACAGUGAAUCUUUUUGGUUUGUUUCUACUAGAUUUACUAAAUUGAUGUUUCCUAAUACACAUCUUCAUUAUCUAGCUAGCUGGUCUCAAAGUUUGUAGUGCUGAAUUGCAAAUCGUAGGACGAUGGAUCAAGCAAUGAUCUAGGCAUCAGAAAUCCUCUGCAAAAGUGAACGAUGAGGCAUUAGGGUAUGUGAGUUCAAACUGAUACGGCAGAUUUAGUAGUCAAUAAAUAUGAAGACACUACAUUUAGAAAAGGAGUUGGGCUUCAUACCAAACCUCUCUAGUGCUGUCUAUUAGGUUACUCGCAAACAGGGGGCCUGCAUUUUUAUUUUUAUUAAAUUGACUCUUCAAGCAGGACUUCUCAAAAGCUGCACAAGUGUUUGUAAGACAACUCCUAGCAUCAAGCUAAAAGGCUAAAGUGGGAUACUAAACCGGUUAUAAAGUCAGUCAGACAAUAUGUACAGCAGGGGUCUUCAACAGGCAGUCCGGGGGCCAACUUCAGUCCACGGGUGGUUAUAUCUGGCCUCACAAAUAAACAAAAAAAGACUAAAGUCACCAGGAAAUAACCAUAAAGUGAUUUUAAAUUAGGAAAUCUGUUCCCAAGCAUUCUCAUGCUUAAAUAAAGAAAUGUAAUCAAGGUUCAAAAUUAUUAGGUUUUUGUCCAUACGCUCCAGAAAGAAAUUGGCACGUGGCUGAAUUAGUUGGGGAUCCCUGAUGCAUUAUAUAUAUAUUUUUUUUUAACCAUUAUUUAACUGGGCAAGUCAAUAUCUCUGUUGUGCUGAUGUACAGAAUUAUUGGCAAAGGGCAAUAUUUCUCAUUACAGUUGGUGGUGCAAAGAAGCAAAUGUUUGUUUUGGUGAGUAGGUGGAGUAGCUGGGUAAGGAAGAGGUUCUAUCCUGUUUGAAGUAUCACAUAACUUGGGAUGGUACUGUCAGGUGGUUUUUAUGGCCUUUGUUGAGUCAUACUUUCCUGUUUACUAGUGCGUGUGAGUCUGUCCAAUACAUUUCCCAAUACAUUCAAUCAAAUACACAAUGCAGGAAGCCUACACUGGGAAAACACCAUGUCAAAAUGUACAGCCUACUGUAAUUUCUACCUAAUUUGUAUUUUAAUGAAAAGGGGGAUUUUGCAGCACUUGAGCUGUUACAUUAUUUUCUGCAGUGUGGCUUUGAUUGAAUUUCUCUGUACGCAGCUCAAAUCAUUGGUUAUAUUAAAUCCCAUUUGCAGCACUCAAACACUCAGCACACAGUUAAGAGCACUUACAGGCUCCCAGAGAGAAAUGAGGCCAGAGAAGCUAAAUGACCCGCCAUGGAGUUUGCUAAGUAAACAAUGAACCAGCAUAAACACUCUCUCCUGGAGAACACAGGCUCAGUAAUUCUCUUGGUGUCAGAGAUUUUAUGGUUUACAAUUUGCCCUUCAAAAAGGCACCAGCCAGGUGUCAUUCUUCUUAAUGUCUUUUGCCCUUGUCAUGUAUCUGGAGUGAUCACUCAGUGUUACAUUUGGCAUUGUAUUACUGUACGCUAAAGGCCAGUUCUCUAUUCAUUGUGCACUCUGGUGUACAAUUCAAUGACUCCAAUUUCCCAACUAGUAGCUUCAAAAGUAUGUUGUAUAAUAGUUAUGUUGAUAAAGAUGUGUAUGAAAACCUCAUCGUAAAAAUGAUCAUUUGAUGUAUUGUUUGAAGUCAUUGACAAAAGCAUAAUUACACUGUACCUGCCUAUGUAACUAUAUAUUAACACUUAGAUUGUAUAUUCCAUUUAUAAAGUGGAAUGUUAAACAUUGGCUUUGUGUACAAGCCUGUAUUGUUCAGCUGCUAAAGCUUCUGAGUCACUAUAUCAAAGCUAAUUUGUGUGAUCCAUUAAUCCAUUUGGCCGAUUAGAAAUCUCCUGGACCUGACAGUCUAUCAGCUAAUCUAAUGAUUCAGUUAAUGUUACAGGGACAUAACACAGGCGCAGAGGGAGCUGUUGGCCCUGGACAGGCAAGAAUGGGUUGAGCACAUGAUCAAAUCUGUUUCAACUCUAGUUAGUGGAUAUUCCUCAAAAAGUUCUACAGCUGCACCAUCAAAAGCAUUCUGACCAGUUGCAUCACCGCCUGGUAUGGCGACUGCUCGGCAUCUGACCGUAAGGCGCCACAGAGGGUAGCGCGUAUACCCCGGAACAUCACUGGGGCCAAGGUUUCUGCCAUCCAGGACCUCUAUACCAGGCGGUGUCAGAGGAAGGCCCAAAUAAUUGUCAAAGACUCCAGCCACCCAAGUAGUAGACUGUUCUCUCUGCUACUGCACGGCAAGCGGUACCAGAGCGCCAAGGCUCCUUAACAGCUUCUACCCCCAAGCCAUAAGACUGCUAAAAUCAAUUAAUCAAAUGGCUACCCGGACUAUUUGCACCACUGAUGCUACUCACUGUUUAUUAUCUAUGCAUAAUCACUUUACCCCUACCUACAAGUACAUAUUACCUCAAUUACCUUGACUAAACUGUACACCCGCACAAUGACUCGGUACCGGUCUCCCCUGUACAUAGCCUCGUUAUUGUUAUUUUAUUGUAACUUUUUUUACUUUCAUUUAUUUAGUAAAUAUUCUCUUAACUCUUAUUUUCUUAAAACUGCAUUGUUGGUUAACUUGUAAGUAAGCAUUUCAUGGUAAGGGCUACACAAAUCAAAUGUUAUUGGUCACAUACACAUGGUUAGCAGAUGUUAAUGUGAGUUUAGCGAAAUGCUUGUACAUUUAGUUCCAACCAUGCAGUAAUAUCUAACAAGUAAUCUAACAAAUUCACAACGACUACCUUAUACACACAACGUAAGGGGAUGGAAUAAGAAUAUAAUCGCACAUCCAUAUAUAUAUGUGCGAUGGCCGUGCGGCAUAGGCAAGAUGCAAUAGAUGGUAUAGAAUACACUAUAUACAUAUGAGAUGAGCAAUGUAGGAUAUGUAAACAUUAUUAAAGUGGCGUUAUUUAAAGUGACUAGUGAUCCAUUAUUAAAUCAAUUUAUUAAAGUGGCCAGUGAUUUGAG
This is a long non-coding RNA of Salmo salar (Atlantic salmon), 4092 nucleotides long. RefSeq lists it as uncharacterized. The record is from RefSeq and is a predicted model, not a curated record. Lineage: Eukaryota; Metazoa; Chordata; Actinopteri; Salmoniformes; Salmonidae.